Molecule: long non-coding RNA, 335 nt
Organism: Silurus meridionalis
Lineage: Eukaryota; Metazoa; Chordata; Actinopteri; Siluriformes; Siluridae
Exons: 4
Source: RefSeq, a predicted model, not a curated record
CACACAAUGUAUCUCACACACACACACACAAAUAAACUUCCACUAAAAAAUUCUUAAUGUUUUUCUAAAUUUAGACACAGGAGGCAUAGAAUCAAGCGAUGAUGAGCACACACCUGAAACAAGAAAAAAAAAUUAAGUGAUCCAUGUGACCUUCCCAGAAAACCUGGAAGACGGAGGAGUAACCCGAUAGACUACCCAACCAUGUGAAGAGAAACAAAAGAGAAAACAGCAGAACAUAGAAAAGAAGACGACUGUUUAAACUGUAACCUUAGCACAGGGGUGGCCAACCAGUCAGAGACCGAGAGCCACAUUUUUGACUGUGUUACCGCAAAGAG